AAUAGAUACCCUGGUAGUCCACGCUGUAAACGAUGAUCACUGGACGUCAGUUUCGCUUUGCGAAAUUGGUGUCGUAGCUAACGCGUUAAGUGAUCCGCCUGGGAAGUACGGUCGCAAGAUUAAAACCUAAAGGAAUUGACGGGGGUCCGCACAAGCGGUGGAACAUGUGGUUUAAUUCGACACUACGCGAGGAACCUUACCUGGGUUUGACAUGCAUAUGAUAGUUGUAGAGAUACAAUCUUCUAGGCGUAAGCCUAGACAUUUGCACAGGUGCUGCAUGGCUGUCGUCAGCUCGUGUCGUGAGAUGUUGGGUUAAGUCCUUUAACGAGCGCAACUCCUGCCAUCAGUUGCAACCUUCGGGGCACGUCUGGAUGGGGACUGCCUGGGAAACCAGGAGGAAGGUGGGAAUGAUGUCAAGUCCGCAUGGCCCUUAUGUCCAGGGCGACACACGUGUUACAAUGGCCAGUACAAAGGGUUGCCAACCCGCAAGGGGGAGCUAAUCUCAUAAAGCUGGUCUAAGUUCAGAGUUG
Molecule: ribosomal RNA, 530 nt
Filed under: uncultured bacterium
Lineage: Bacteria
Description: bacterial SSU rRNA
Rfam family: Bacterial small subunit ribosomal RNA
Source: RNAcentral